This 490-nucleotide ribosomal RNA is filed under the name uncultured bacterium. RNAcentral's name for it is "partial 16S ribosomal RNA". It matches the Rfam family "Bacterial small subunit ribosomal RNA", at positions 30 to 507 of the family's 1533-position model. The record is from RNAcentral.
AUUGAACGCUGGCGGCGGGCCUAACACAUGCAAGUCGAACGGUAACAGGAAGCAGCUUGCUGCUUUGCUGACGAGUGGCGGACGGGUGAGUAAUGUCUGGGAAACUGCCUGAUGGAGGGGGAUAACUACUGGAAACGGUAGCUAAUACCGCAUAACGUCGCAAGACCAAAGAGGGGGACCUUAGGGCCUCUUGCCAUCGGAUGUGCCCAGAUGGGAUUAGCUAGUAGGUGGGGUAACGGCUCACCUAGGCGACGAUCCCUAGCUGGUCUGAGAGGAUGACCAGCCACACUGGAACUGAGACACGGUCCAGACUCCUACGGGAGGCAGCAGUGGGGAAUAUUGCACAAUGGGCGCAAGCCUGAUGCAGCCAUGCCGCGUGUAUGAAGAAGGCCUUCGGGUUGUAAAGUACUUUCAGCGGGGAGGAAGGGAGUAAAGUUAAUACCUUUGCUCAUUGACGUUACCCGCAGAAGAAGCACCGGCUAACUCCGUG